UGUCAAGCGUGUGUCACCUUCGCCUCUACUGACAUUUCCCGACGUUGUCCUGUUGAAAUAGCAGCGGUGGUUUGGUACGACGAGUGCCUCCUACGAUACUCGGACGAAAAUAUAUUUUCCGCCGUGGCUGAAGAACCUGCAAUUAUCUUGUUCAACACUCAGAACAUCAGUGACCAAGUCCGUUUCGACAGCCAAGUUCAAGAAGUGAUGAGUGGUACAGCAACCCAAGCCGCAAACGCAGCACCAGGUGCUAAAAAAUUCGCGACUAGAGAGGCAGAUGCCAAUUUUACAUCGAGUUUUCGAACACUAUAUGUCCUUGCUCAGUGUACACCGGAUUUGCCAACCUCCGAUUGCGACAGAUGCCUGCGAUACGUAACUGGAAACCUUCCAAGAGGAAGCCAAAGAGGAAGAGUGUUGAGUCCUAGCUGCAACGUCAGAUAUGAAGUUUACUUGUUCUAUAAUCUAAAUCAAACAGCAGUUGCAUCUCCUCCACCUCCUCUAGUUCCAGGUUUAUCCUUACUAUUCAUUCAUAAUUUUGGGUUAGAUCAUUAAAAUGAUAAAGCUAGAGGAAAUAGAUUUUUAAUCUAAUAGUCUACCACCUAGACACCCUUUUUGACUCUAUUAACGGUAUAUAUCAUGGCUUCAGAAGGGAAUGGCAGAAGAUCAUGGUCAAUAAUUAUUGCCAUUGUUGCUCCAAUUGCUGCCUUCAUUUUGCUUUUCAUACUGACUUGUUGGCUGUUAAAGAGGGGAACAAGGAAGUACAAUGCUACCCACGGAGAAAACGGUAAAGGGAAUGAUUAAGCUUGUGCUUCUUUUGAGCCAUUUUAUUUCCUUGUCUUUCACAAAAAAAUUUGUCACCCCUUCGCCAUUUGAUUGUUUAGCAGGAUAUGACAUAACCACUAUAGAAUCAUUGAAGUAUCAUUUUACCACAAUUGAAGCUGCAACAGACAAGUUUUCAGAUGCCAACAAGCUAGGCAAAGGAGGUUUUGGUGAGGUUUACAAGGUACUUGGUCAUUUUGUUCAUACAGAGUCCAAUCAAUUUGAUAAAAAACUUGGUCUAAAUACGCAUUUUAAUGACUGGUUAUUAAUUUGUAUAUGCUUAGGGUAUCCUACCCAACAAACAAGAAAUAGCUGUUAAGAGGUUAUCAAGAGGUUCAGGACAAGGCACUGAGGAAUUUGAAAAUGAGGUCGUAUUGAUAGCCAAGCUUCAACACAGAAAUCUAGUCAGCGUAUUGGGCUUUUGCCUGGAAAGAGGUGAAAAGAUACUUGUCUACGAAUAUGUUCCCAACAAGAGCCUUGACUAUUUUAUUUUUGGUAUUUUUCACAUACUUUGCAAUGACCUUUUUGAGAAUUUGCAUUUGCUUUAAGGUUGGUUUUUAAACACAAUUUUUUGUUUUUGUUUAGAUCGUGCGGAGGAAGGACAAUUGGAUUGGUCGAGACGAUACAAGAUAAUUGGAAGAAUUGCUCGUGGAAUUCUUUAUUUGCACGAGGAUUCUAGACUUAGAAUCAUUCACCGUGAUCUCAAGGCCAGCAAUAUAUUAUUAGAUGGAGACAUGACCCCCCAAAUAUCGGAUUUUGGCAUGGCAAGAAUUUUUGGAAUUGAUCAAACUCAAGGAACCACUAGAAAGAUUGUUGGAACCUAGUAAGCCCUGACUUUGUUCAGCCUAAUUGUUGAAUGUUCUAAUACCUCCAUUACCUUGAAAUUGUUAUUGGUUCCACAGCGGCUAUAUGUCUCCAGAAUAUGCAAUGCAUGGGCAAUUUUCGAUGAAAUCGGAUGUGUAUAGCUUUGGUGUUUUAGUUCUAGAAAUCAUAAGUGGCCUAAGGAACAGAGAUUUCUAUGAAACAGAUGGUGCUGAGGACCUCAUUAGCUACGUGCGUAUAAUUCUUUUGGCCUUUUUUGUUCAAAUAUCCUUUAUAUAGAACUUAUUGAAUCUUUGAUGAACCAAUGCAGGCUUGGAAACUAUGGAAGGAUGAAAGACCCUUAGAAUUGUUGAACCCUGUUCUGAGGAAUGAUUACUCGAGAAAUGAAGUCACCAAAUGCAUCCAACUCGGAUUAUUAUGUGUUCAGGAAGAUCCAGCUGACCGGCCAACGAUGGUUACCAUUGUUCUAAAGCUCAAUAGGCACUCUGCCAAACUACCAAUGCCUAAACAACCAGCAUUUGUCUUUGAUAGUAGAACAGAUGGGAGGAUGCCAGACAAGGGGCUUGAAUCGGACCAAUCUACUACUCAAUCAAUGCCGUCGUCUAUCAAUGAGGUAUCUAUUACGGAAUUAUACCCUCGGUAAUGUGAGCUAAUGGAUGCAUCAUCAUCCUCAACCUCAAGGUAGAUAGCUAUCUACCGACGUUGAUCAACAAGUAAAAUUUUAAAUAAAGUGAUAAUUUAUUUAAAAUCAAUUUUAUAAAAUUAUAAUGUAAACAUGGAUGAUUAUUUCCUUAGCUAGAAUAAUAUAAUAUAAUAUAAUUUAUAAUAUUAUUAGGAUAUGGUGUCGAUAAUGUAAAAAGGAGUGUCAUGACCCAACCUAGGUCACUGGCCUCAUUUGGAUUUUUAUGUAAUUCUUAUGUAUGUGAAAACGAAUCGUUUUCUAUUUUCUCUGCAAUUAAUCUUCUCAUUUAUUAGUCUUUAUGACCAAACUUAUUUCUAUGGAAAAAUGUAAUUUCUUAUAGAAAUCUUCUUUUGCAUUCAAAAACCGAAGAAUACACAUGUUCAUUUUUGUUUUCAUGACAAAGUGGAAAGUUUUGCUUAUCAAGAAAAAAAACAAUGAAGAAAUAUUCUUCUUUUUUUUUUUUUUGGUCAAAAUUACUGUCCAUAGUCGUGUUGCAAAGUUGUGGCUGACUAGUGUAGUUUCCUGGACCAUAAACUGCUUUAUCAUAUUUAUGAGAUUUCGAUCAAUUAAUAACAGAAGACGAUAUAGAAAAUUUUAAAAAAAAAAAAAACCAAGACCAUGACGUAAAACUCUCUGUUAUUACACGUAUGCACGAGAAAAAAACACACUGAAAGUGCUUGCCUACUACAAACCAAAAACCCCUUCAAGUGGAACAAAUUAGAUUACUCAGUACUACUGCAAUCGGAUUACUCGAGUGUUUCGACCCACCGAGAUUCAUGGCCAACUGGCUCAUUGAGUAUUCGUUUUUGACCCUACUCUUUUAAGUUCUUAGCUUCCAAUUUGAUUGAGAUUUCUAGUCUUCCUUGUAGACUAAUACAAUCCAAAAAUUCGACUCAAAUUUUUCAGUAAAGGAUCAACGAAUUUUCUGUAAUGGCGAAAAGUAUUUCCCUUUAUACAACAACCCAUAUUAUAAUUUAUAAAUCUGGUAUCUCUUGUCUUAUAAUCCAAGCUAAAACAAGGUGAUGACUUUUAUAAACUUGUUGCUGUUAGGAAUAGUACUUUCCUUGCUUACCCCUGCAAUUGAAGCUCAGCAGCCUACUUAUCUGUACCACGAUUGUCCAAACACCACCACUUUCACCGUAAUCAGCACUUACCAAGCCAACCGCAAUACCGUCUUAUCAUCGCUGUCGUCUAAUAGCACCCGUGGUUAGGGGUGUUCAUUCGGUUAACCGACCGGUUAACCGACCCGAAAUUACUAUAACCGAAUUAACCGACCUUCCAAAAAUUUUAACCGUUAACCGAACCGAUUUUUAAAAAAAAAAAAUUAACCGAACCGAAAUUUUUUCGGUUAAUAAGGUCGGUUAACCGAAUUAACCGAAAAUUAUGUAUUUUUUGUUUUUGGUUAAAAAUUACCCGAAUUACCCGAAUUAACCGAAUUACCGAAAAAUACCCGAAUUACCCAAAAUUUUUAUUUUUUAUUUUUAAAAGUUAAAAAAUUUAUAAAUUAUUAAAGUAAAUUGGGUUUUAAACUUUAGUAAAUUGGGUUGUCUUUUAGUUUUAUUUUUAUUGGAUUGGGUAAUUGAGUAAACUUUAGUUUUAGUUUUAUUGGGUUGGGUAAUUGGGUUGGCUAAUUGAGUUUGGGCUGGGUUGGAUAAUUUUAUUUAUUAAUUUUUUCGGUUAACCGAAAAAUUUCGGUUAACCGACCGAUUUCGAACCGAAUUAACCGUUAACCGAAAAAUCAUAAAAAAAUUAACCGAAUUCGGUCGGUUAACCGAAUUUUUUCGGUUUUACCCGAAUUAUGCACACCCCUACCCGUGGUGAUGGUUUCUACAACACAACCGCAGGCAGGAGCCCUGACAUGGUAUACGGUCUUUUCCAUUGCCGUGGGGAUCUUUCUACCAGCGACUGCCAAGCGUGUGUCACCUUUGCCACCACCGAUAUUUCCCAACGUUGUCCCAACCAAACAACGGCGGUGGCUUGGUACGACGAGUGCCUCCUACGGUACUCGAAUCGAAAUAUCUUCUCCGUUGUCGAAGACCGACCCGCAGUUAGAUUGAGUAACUAUCGGAAUGCAACUGGGACAGAAAUCCCUUUCGACCAGCUAGUGGCCGCCACAGUUGUUAUGAACAUGAACGAUAUAACAACCCAAACGGAAAAUAAACCCGCAGGUUCUAAAAAAUUUGCGACAAGAGAGACCAAACUUUCAAGUUCUCGAACACUGUACACGCUCGCCCAGUGUACACCGGACUUAUCAGGCAGUGACUGCAGUAUAUGUCUGCAAGGAGCACUAGAACUUCUUCCAACUGGAUGGCUAGGCGGAAGAUUGUUGAGUCCUAGCUGCAACGUCAGAUAUGAAAUUUACCCCUUCUAUAAUCCAACGAUAGUUUCGCCUCAACCUCCUCCUGCAGCAGGUUUAUCCUCACUGUUAAUUGAUAAAUUUGAUCCUUUCCUUUUUCCUUUUUUAUAGUUCUCGACAAAAAGAAAACAAGAUUCACUACAUUCUCUUUUCUUUUUUCUGGUCGGUAAUUUGUAAAUUAAUAUAUAGGUAAAGAACAAUCCCCUGUUGUCAUAAGGAUUAUAAUGAACUGAAUUGAGGAUAUCUAAUUCUGCUCUUAUUUAAUCAGAAGAAGAGAAACAAAACAAAUCAAACCGGAUUCCAGUACUUGUUGCAAGUUUAUCAGCAAUUUUUUGGCUGGCUGUGGUUUUUAUCUCUGGUUUCUUCAUCCGGAGGAGGAGAAACAGUCGAGGUACAUAUCGGAGUGAUCUUUCUGGCAAGUAUUGUAACUUCUUUUUAUAUUCUUAUGCUGAUCAUAUUAUGAUUUUAUUACAGACGAAGAAAACAGCCAAGAAGUUCAAUUACUUGACUUGGUAAAUGAGCACUCAAGGGAAACUUUUAACGGAGAAAAUGGGGAGAGAUCUCAGGAGUUUCCUUCUAUACAGUUGGAUGUUUUACAUGCAGCGACAAAUCACUUUUCUGAUGAAAAUAAGCUGGGACAGGGUGGAUUUGGUCCUGUAUUCAAAGUAAUUAUAUAACUUGAAACUUUUAUCUGAGUUGGCUUUAGAACUGAUGUAUGCGAAUUAAGUAUGUGAAUACUCCUGCAUUUGAAUUUUGAUAUGCUAUGUAAAUGAAUGAAUUCUUCCAGGGAACAUUAGCAAAUGGUAAAGAAAUUGCAGUUAAAAGGCUGUCAGAAACUUCCAGUCAAGGGCUUGUUGAAGUCAAGAAUGAAAUCAUGUUAAUUGCUAAACUACAACAUAGAAAUCUUGUGAGGCUCUUAGGAUGUUGCUUAGAGAAAAGUGAGAAGUUGCUUGUAUAUGAAUUCAUGCCCAACAAAAGCCUGGACGUUUUCCUAUUCGGUUUGAUUCUUGAACCUUUAACUAAUAAGAAAAAAAAACAUGAAACAAUUAAUGAAAAUGUGCUCAUUUGUUUUUUUUUUUCCUUUUUUUCCACAUUUAUAUCAGAUUCGAAAUUAGCUGCUCAACUGGAUUGGCAGAAACGAUUCAAUAUUAUUAAAGGAAUUGCUCGAGGUAUUUUGUAUCUACACGAAGAUUCUAGUCUAAAAAUUAUACACAGGGAUCUUAAAGCAAGUAAUGUUCUACUCGAUCAUGAGAUGAAUCCGAAAAUUUCUAAUUUUGGUAUGGCAAGAAUUUUUGAAGAUCAAAACGAAGCAAAUACCAAUAGAGUCGUUGGAACAUAGUAAGUAUGCAUAUUUUCAUGACACAUUCCUUUACAGUGCGAGGCUUAUGGGAAUAUUGUUAUUUAAUUAUUUUCUUUCUUUAUAAAUUUUUUAUGAUAUCAUCCAAUUUUAUUUUAAUAAAUUGUCUCUUUGUUUCUUAUGAAUUAAAAUAGUGGAUAUAUGGCACCAGAAUAUGCUAUGGAAGGACUCUUUUCUAUCAAAUAUGAUGUUUUCAGCUUUGGAGUCCUUUUAUUGGAGAUUAUUAGUGGAAAAAAGAACAAUGGUUUUCAUCAUUUAGAGCAUGGUGAAAGCUUGUUGACUUUUGUAUGUUCUUUACCCUCCCUUUUGUUCUCAAACUAUAGAUUAAAUGUUUUAACUAUUCUACUAAUAAUUUUAAGCUACAAUUGUAGGCAUGGAAAUUAUGGUCCAAGGGCGAAGGAAUGGAGCUAAUAGAUCAGGUCCUUGUUCCUUCAUGUGUGGCUUCUGAGGUGCUUAAAUGCAUUCAUAUUGGGCUAUUAUGUGUGCAAGAAGACCCGGCAGACAGACCAACCAUGUCAUCUGUGAUUUUCAUGUUGGCAAGUGAUAGUACCAUAACACUUCUUUGUCCAUCUGAACCAGCAUUUUUCGUUGGGCGUGCAAUUGCAAAGCCAACUGAACCUAUUUCAGAUGAUGGAGUCUUUUCGGUUAAUGAGGUCACAAUUUCAAAUUUCUCACCUCGCUAAUUUGAUUGUUGUACUAACAAUACUAGUUUAUCAAAAACCUUUCAUUUUUAUUUUCCAGUCUGAAUUAACAACUAUGAAUACUAAAGCCAUGAUUUUUAAGAACUUGAAGAUGAAACUAGAUAUACAUAUAUAUGAAUUUCAAAUUGAGUAUGAAGUUGGUGAUAAAUCAAUUUAAGAAAAUUAAUUUUUUACUCAAAUUUUUUAAUGUAUCGAAGCACCUAAGAAAGUUGAAAAUUAUAUGGAUUUAUACUUUCUAAAGCAUAUAUAAUUUAGCUACUCUUUGCGAUUUGCACAAGGAAACAAACAUAUAGCAGGGAAGAGUGUAAUUUUUAUACUCUUGUAAUGAUAAAGGAGUUGCAAUAAUUUAUUUCAUUAGUUUACACUUAAUCUGGAAUUCAAUUACAAUAAAAGGAUCCAAUUAACUUCCAAAGACUAGUCUUGCAUCUAGAAAUUAAGAGUUUGGAUACGUGUUACCUUGUGCAAAGUGUCGCUACUUUGUGCAAGUUUCUCAUAUGCUCAGUUUAGAUUAAUUUAAAUUAUGUGGAAAAUUAUAACUGUGUUUCACAAAAGUACAAAUUUAUAUGACUUAUAUUACUUCAACAUCAAUAUAAUAUUUCAUUACUCGAAUCCGACGAUUAAAUCAGGAAAUAAAGAGUUGCAUUUAAUAAUAUCAGUAACCAAGUCAAUGGAAUGCUUUCACUGUCCCGAACAUGGUCAUGUAGCCAACUGCCACAUUGAAUAUUAUUUUUUGUUAACUUCUGCCCCAUCCAUUCAUUGGGAGGCCCUAAACAAAAUACAGCAAAAAUAGUUCAACAUGCGUAAAUUAAUGUUUUUAGUCAUAUGACAAAGAAUUGACUAACUUGUGUAGCUUCCUCGAACAUAAGCUGCUUUAUCAUCUUCAUCUUGUGAGAACGGGUCAACAAAAUACAGCCACCUUCGACAAUUGAACUUUUAAUUUGUAAGUGAAUUCCUUAAAGAAACAGGCAACGGAAAUUUCAAGAACAAUAUUGUUUCACUUCUUGUUUUCAGGUUUAACAUUUACAUGCCUCGUUAUUCUCACCAUUUCCUUCGACCCUUAUUUCCAGCGUUAUUGGGCGAACAUCAUCGGCAACUGCACCGCCAAUAGUGCCUACGAGCGUGACCUGAAUAGCAUCUUCAAGGAGAUCACCUCUAUAACAAAAUCCAAUUAUGGGUUUUACAGCAACAAGGUCGGCGAAGUCAAGGCCAUGGCACUUUGCAGAGCAGAUGUUAAGCUAGAUGUUCGCUCUAGUUGUUUAAAUGAAAAUAUCUAAUUAUUAUUAAAAAAAAGUUAAGAAUUCAAAUCUAAUUAUUUUGAACUUGAAUUGACACAAAUGGAAUAGAUUUAAACUCAAAAUGACUCAAACAGAUCAUUUAAAAUUACUAAAAUCUAAAAAGAUCAAAACUCGAUUCAAAUUUAUAAUGACGAAAUUAAAAGGCUAGUACCUCAACCCUAAAUAAUUCAAAAUCCUAAUUAAUCCUAAUUGAAAUAAUCUAAAAAUUUUAAAACUAGAUUACUUGCAGGCUUGCUUAUUACAGUCAUUGAAUACAUGUCAUUUAUUGGUAACCAAGUCAAUGGAGUGCUUUCAUUGACCCGAACAUGGUCACGUAACUAACUGCCACAUUGAAUAAUUAUUUAUCAUUUACUUCCGUUCCAUCGAUUCAUUGCGGACCCAGCUCUCCUUGUAGACCAAUUUACACAACAAAACUGCUUUAUCAUCUUCGUAUUGUUAGAACCAGUCAACAAAAUACAGCCACCUUCAACAAUUAAACGUUUAAUCUGUAAGUGAAUUCCCUAGAGAAAAUGGCAACGGAAAUUUCAAGAACAGUACUGUUUCACUUCUUGUUUUCAGGUUUAACAUUUACAUUCCUCGUUACUUUUGCCGUUUCCUUCGACCCUUAUUUCCUGCAUUCUUGUGCAAACAACAUCGGCAACUACACCGCCAAUAGUGCUUACGAGCGUGACCUCAAUACCAUCUUCAAACAGAUCACCUCUAUUACGAAAUUGAAUUACGGAUUUUACAGCAAGAAAGUCGGCGAAGUCAACGCCAUGGCACUUUGCAGAGCAGAUGUUAAGCUAGAUGUUUGCACUGGUUGUUUAAAUGAAACUAUAUCAAGGGUCAAGCUGGAUUGUCCUAACAGCAAAGAAGCCAUCGGAUGGUCUGCGGAUUGCACGUUACGGUACUCGAACACAAACCUCUCCGAGAAGUUGGAAAUUAAUCCUCAAACCUGUCUAUAUAAUACAGGAUCUACGGCUGAUGAGUACUUUGAGCUCAGACUCGGAGAGUUGUUGAGUGACCUGCGUAAUAAAGCAGCAGCAGGGGGUGCUCUUCUUAAAUACGCAGCAGGUAACUCGUCGCUCAGGGCUUCGGAAAGAUUAUACGCUCUAGUGCAGUGCACUCCUGAUUUGUCUGAGGGAGACUGCAAUCAUUGUCUUGAUAAGGCGGCAACUGACGGGAUUCGGCGGUGUUGCCUUAAGCAGAGGGGAUGCCGGGUUCUUAGUCCUAGCUGUAACUUGAGGUUCGAAACAUAUCCCUUUGUUGAAGCCGGAGCGGAGUUUCCACCACCCCCGUCACCCUCGGGCGAUCGGCAAAAAGAAGGUACGACAAUUUUCCUUCCACUGUCACUUCUUCCAACCACCUGUUAGCACAGCUUCACUUUGGAGGCACUAUAUUAGUCUAUCACUCUUGUUGAAUCGAGAAAAUCUGAUUCUGCCCUUAUUUAAUUAGAAGAGGAACCAAACAAAUCAAAAAGGACUCCAGUAGUUGUUGCAAGUUUAUCAGUGAUUUUUGGGGUAGCUGUGGUUUCUAUCUCAGGUUUCUUAAUCUGGAAGAGGAGAAACAAUCAAGGUAUGCAAUGGCAAACAUUACAAAUUUGUUUUGUAUUGUUAUAUUGAUCACUUUCUUACUUUCUUCUUUUAUUAAUUGCAGAUACAGAGUACAGAGAAAUUCAAUUACUUGACUUGGUAGAGGGAAGAAUUGAUAUGUGAAAAUCAAGUUUGUAACGUUAGGUAUAAAUAAAUGAAUUCUUUCGGGGAACACUAGCUGAUGGUAAACAACUGCAGUUAAAAGGCUAUCAAGAACUUCCGAUCAAAAGCUUGUUGAGUUCAAAAAUGAAAUCAUGUUCUUUUUACCUUUUUUUUUCCCUACUAAGCUACAAUUUUAGGUAUGGAAACUCUUAUCUGAAUAGAGGUAAUAGAUAAGUUCCUUAUCCCGUCGAGUGUAAUUUUUGAGGUGCUUAAAUGCAUUUUGGGUUAUUGUACAUGCAGGAAAAUCUGGUACUCAGACUAAUCAAAUCAUCUCUUAUUGUCAUGUUGGCAACCGAUACCGUAAAGCUUGCUCGUGCAAUUAAACCAACAUCCUUUGUGGGCAUAUCAUUGCAGAAUCAAUCAAACACAUUUCAAAUUAUGAAUUAUUAUUAUUAUUAUUAUUAAAAUUUUUCACCACGCUGAUUUGAUCACUAUUUUAAUUUUAAGAUUAUAUAUUUGAAUGUAAAAAUUAGUAUAAAGCUGAUAACUAAUCAUUUUAUGAAUAUAUUUUUAAUGUGUUGAAGCACCUUAAUUAGUAAACAAAGUUCAAACUUGCAUCAAAUUAUACUCCCAAAAAUAUACAAAUUUUAGCUAACCUUUCUUCUUUCAAUCCGCUCUGCAAGACUUACAUUAGGGAUGAGAAAAUUUUGGUUCAAUUUGAAAAAAUUGAAAAUUUUCAAAUUUAAAAUUAAUCAAAUCGAGUUAUUCGAGUUAUUUAAUUUUCUCGAGUCAACUCAGACAAGUAAUUCUAUUUUCGAGCUCAAAUCAGGUUGAAUUUCAUAAUUUGAAUAACUCGAAUAAUUGAAUAACAUUUUGGUAUAACUACUCCUUUUAACAAUGAGCAAUUCGGUCUCUCUCUUAACAAAAAUUACAAAAACUUCAAAAUAAUUUUUAAAAUUCAAAACAUUUAUAAAAAUUUCAAACCUUAUAUUUUUUUAAAGAAUUGUAAAAAAAAAUUGUAAAAAAAUUCUAAAUAAUAUAUAAAGAAAGUUACGAUUUUAAAAUUUUCUAAAAUAAUAAUUUUAGGGACUUAAAUAAUUUAAUUAAUUAUUCAAGUUUAUCAUAGUAAAAUAUCUUUUCUUUUUUCUUAUUUUUCUUUGAAUUUUUUUAAAUAUAUACAGUUUCAAAUUUAAGUGCUCAAACAUGAAAUUAGUUAUAUUGUAAUAAUAUUUUAAUUUGACGUGAUUAAUUUUUUGAUUUAGCUCGAACAAUUUCACUCGACUUAAAUUUCAUUUCACGCGACUUGAUUCAAAAAAAAUUCAAAUCAAAUUAAGAUGAUAAAAUAGGACUAGUCAACUUGAUUAACUCGAAAUUUUUUCACUUCAUUCGAUUGAGCCUUCUUCCUUAUUUACGUCGCAAAUAGAAAACAUAUAGUAGUAAGGAAGAGUUCAAUUUUUAUACUAAAAAUAAAAUUUCAAAAAGUUACAUGUGCUUUUUUUUAUAAAUAUACUCUAAAAUGGGUUAAUCUAAAUUAUAAAAUCUAAAAAUUUAUUUGAUAAUGGAUCCAAUAAUGAAUAAUUUCUCUACCACCGAAUUGAACAUUGCAUUUCAGUUUUAAAAUCUAUUCUAAUCAAAGAAACCAAAUUAACUUGACUUUGAAGAAUCAAGUAAAGUCCUAAACCAUAAAUCAAGGCAGUCUGAUAAUUGGGUAUAUAUGCACUAAAGAUAACCAAGAAAAAUGAGACACGUUUCCUAUCAUGUCCUUUCAAAAUGUCUUUAAAUUCUACCCAUAUAUUUUUCCACAACUUGGUUGCCAUUUUAUGAGAAAUAUCCAUCAAUUGCAGACAAAAACAUACAGGAACCCAAAGACCAAGUCUUAUAAACUUGUCGUUAUUGGCUGCACCAGAAAAAACAUCAUGUUUUGUAUCCUCAUAUUCUCAUUUCUGUAGAGGAUUUUUUUUAUGGCAAAAAGGAAUUUCCUAAGUGAAACGGAAUGUAACAAAAGACGAUGAAAAGGACGAUUAGAAUAGAUAUUUUAUAACAUUAAGUGUAAAGAUAGAUGAUAGUUUAUAAGUGUGGCUGUAGGUACAAGAGUAAUGAAGUUGCACAUUAAAUAGGAGUAAUAAGAGGCAUUUUUACUGAUAAAGAAUUCAAGUCUUGUAUAAUAGUCCAUUUUAAAAAAAAUGGAAGAUGUAUUUCAUGUUACAAGAAAAGGUUAACAUGUAACAUUUAACUAUCGAUACAAGUUCUUGUGCUUUAAGUUUCUUUGUUGAAGAUGGAUGGAUUGACUUAUCACACAAAAUUAAGCUCUCCAAAAUAUUAAAAGAGUAAAGAGAAUCGAAGAAUCUUAUUAUAUUCUAGUCAAGAAAUAUUUUCUCAUAUCUUAUUGAUAAGAGUGUUUGAGUAUUAUUGACAGGUUGUUCCUAACAAUAGGUGUUUCGAAUAUAUCUAUUCUUAAACUUCAAUUAUUCUAAAUAAGAGUUGUUUUAAAUAUUAAUUGUUCUUAACAAGAGUUAUUCUCAAACAAUUACUACUAUAGGCAUCAACGGUUGUGAACAUAAUAGCUAUUCUAGAACAAAGGUUGAUUUGAGUAGUGAUUAUUCUAAACAAAAGUUAUUCUUCAGAUAAAAAUAUUUAAAAAGAAAACAAUAGAAGUGAUGAGAAUAUGUUUAUCUCAAAGUUGAAUUUAUGUGAAUCAAUCCUACUCAAAUUUUAAACAACUUAAACUCAAUAUGACUCCAAUGAGUAACUUAAAAAUACUAAAAUCUCAAGGAAUAAACCUAAAAUGAUCCAAACCCAUAUUAAUUAAAUCCAAAAUUAAUCCUAAACAAAUAAUUUAAAAUUUUUAACUGGAAGCAACAGAACCUGACAGAUCUACCUCAAAGUAAAACUCAUUUCAAAGUGAGACAAAUUAGAUUAUUAUUUGCAGUCUUGCAUACUACAGUCCUUAUAUAUAUGUCAGAUGUUUUAGGUAAUCUGUGUCAAUGGAGUUCUUUCACUGUCUUGGACGUAGAUGUAGCCAACUGCCACAUUGAAUAGUUUUUCACUUCCAUCCUCAUCUGGACCCAAACUCGUCAUCUUUGUAGACUAAAUCAUAUACGCAAACAAUCCAAAAAUCUAAUGACUUGACUCGUAUUUUUUUAUUAAGGAUCAGAUAAUCUUCCACGAUGGACCAAAACUUUAGCCCUUACUAAAAGCACCCAUAUCAUAAAUUUCAGAAUAUAGCUGAGCUCUCUCGUCUUAUGAUCCAAACAAGAAGGUAAAGCCAAAAAAAAAAAGAAAUGCAGAGCUCCACAGUUUUCAUAACCCUGUGGCUGUUAUUAAUAGUCUUUUCCGUGCUUAGCCCUGUAACUGAAGCUCAGCCGCCUACUUAUCGCUACCACGUUUGUCCUAACACCACCACUUUCCGCAUAAACAGCACUUACCAAGCCAACCGUGAUACCCUCUUAACUUCUCUAUCGUCUAAUGGCAGCCGUGGUAAUGGUUUCUACAACACAACUUCAGGCAGAAACCCCGACACGGUUUACGGUAUUUUCCUCUGCCGUGGGGAUCUUUCUACCAGCGUUUGUCAAGCGUGUGUCACCUUCGCCUCUACUGACAUUUCCCGACGUUGUCCUGUUGAAAUAGCAGCGGUGGUUUGGUACGACGAGUGCCUCCUACGAUACUCGGACGAAAAUAUAUUUUCCGCCGUGGCUGAAGAACCUUCAGUUACCUUGUUCAACACUCAGAACAUCAGUGACCAAGUCCGUUUCGACAGCCAAGUUCAAGAAGUGAUGAGUGGUACAGCAACCCAAGCCGCAAACGCAGCACCAGGUGCUAAAAAAUUCGCGACUAGAGAGGCAGAUGCCAAUUUUACAUCGAGUUUUCGAACACUAUAUACCCU
This 13588-nucleotide long non-coding RNA is filed under the name Gossypium raimondii (Peruvian cotton). Its description in RNAcentral is "long non-coding RNA (GRAI_LNC008792)". The record is from RNAcentral. Lineage: Eukaryota; Viridiplantae; Streptophyta; Magnoliopsida; Malvales; Malvaceae.